Molecule: long non-coding RNA, 899 nt
Organism: Cercocebus atys (sooty mangabey)
Lineage: Eukaryota; Metazoa; Chordata; Mammalia; Primates; Cercopithecidae
Exons: 3
Source: RefSeq, a predicted model, not a curated record
GGCGCUAACUGACAUGCAGAGGCAGCAUACUGGGGCGGGGCCAGGGAGCCAGAAUCUGGUGGAGCGUCAGGGGAGCUGGGCUCUGCCAGCAGCUCUGCCCCUGCUGAGCUCUGCAGCCUUGGGAACUCCGGCUGCUUGGAGAUCUCAGAGCAUGUGGAGUGGUUACAAGCAUGGACUCUGGAGCCAGAUUGCCUGGGUUCAACCCUCAUCUCAUCUUCCUGGAGCUGUGUGACCCUGGCUCCCCUUACUUCGGUCAGAAUUCUGCUUCAUUUCACAACCCUUCUCUGAUGCAUGAAGAGCAUAGACUGAGAUAACACACCAGGGAUAUACUGAGUUUAAGAUGCAGAAUGGAAGAUCGUAAAAUGUAUCAUUUUUUUUUUUUUUGUAUCACUAAGAAAGGGAACAGAUACCUGCUAAUUAAACUCUAACAUUUUUUCUUUAUAAUCAGUUUGAAAAUGCUCCUUCAGACUUCUUUAGACACAGAUUAUUUUUAGAUUGCAUAUCACUCUUGUGCAUUUGUUAACAGGAAAAUAUAAGGCCAGGGUAUUCCUGAAAUUCCUACACAUUGACAUUGUGUAGAAUGUUGAUGUCAAAUCAUAGCAUACACAUUGCCAGCAGCCUGGGAGCUCACAUGGGUGGGACCAACCAGGCACACAUCUUAAUUAAAAUGCCCUGUGAACAGCUACAAUAGGCUUGUACUCCUCUAAGCAAUGGCAACUCCUUGACUGUCACCAGGCCAGCAGCAACUGUAAUAUGCAUCCCAAUUUGAGGAACAUUUAAGUGUGAAAAAAUGUGCAUCUUAGAAUACAUGAAAUUGGUGAUAAAAAUUUAUACUUAUUUCUUAGAGAGGAUGGGUUUACUUCUCAGGAAACUUUUCAAGAGUUAUUUAAAAAAAAAAA